This 485-nucleotide ribosomal RNA is filed under the name Lasiodiplodia theobromae. Its description in RNAcentral is "eukaryotic LSU rRNA". The stretch from base 110 to 263 matches the Rfam family "5.8S ribosomal RNA". Lineage: Eukaryota; Fungi; Ascomycota; Dothideomycetes; Botryosphaeriales; Botryosphaeriaceae. The record is from RNAcentral.
CCCACCCUUUGUGAACGUACCUCUGUUGCUUUGGCGGCUCCGGCCGCCAAAGGACCUCCAAACUCCAGUCAGUAAACGCAGACGUCUGAUAAACAAGUUAAUAAACUAAAACUUUCAACAACGGAUCUCUUGGUUCUGGCAUCGAUGAAGAACGCAGCGAAAUGCGAUAAGUAAUGUGAAUUGCAGAAUUCAGUGAAUCAUCGAAUCUUUGAACGCACAUUGCGCCCCUUGGUAUUCCGGGGGGCAUGCCUGUUCGAGCGUCAUUACAACCCUCAAGCUCUGCUUGGAAUUGGGCACCGUCCUCACUGCGGACGCGCCUCAAAGACCUCGGCGGUGGCUGUUCAGCCCUCAAGCGUAGUAGAAUACACCUCGCUUUGGAGUGGUUGGCGUCGCCCGCCGGACGAACCUUCUGAACUUUUCUCAAGGUUGACCUCGGAUCAGGUAGGGAUACCCGCUGAACUUAAGCAUAUCAAUAAGCGGAGGAA